CCCUUAGAUGUCCUGGGCUGCACGCGCGCUACACUGAUGUGUCCAGUAAGCACCUAACCUCUUCCGAAAGGAACGGGUAACCUUUGCAAAGCACAUCGUGAUGGGGAUAGAUUAUUGCAAUUAUUAGUCUUGAACGAGGAAUUCCUAGUAAGCACAAGUCAUCAGCUUGUGUUGAUUACGUCCCUGCCCUUUGUACACACCGCCCGUCGCUCCUACCGAUUGAAUGUUCCGGUGAGCUCUUCGGACUGCGCGGUCUGCAGUUUCUGCGUUCCAUGCGGAAAGUUGCGCAAACCUUAACAUUUAGAGGAAGGAGAAGUCGUAACA
Molecule: ribosomal RNA, 324 nt
Filed under: uncultured eukaryote
Lineage: Eukaryota
Description: partial 18S ribosomal RNA
Rfam family: Eukaryotic small subunit ribosomal RNA
Source: RNAcentral